This 253-nucleotide ribosomal RNA is filed under the name uncultured bacterium. RNAcentral's name for it is "partial 16S ribosomal RNA". It matches the Rfam family "Bacterial small subunit ribosomal RNA", at positions 524 to 776 of the family's 1533-position model. The record is from RNAcentral.
GACGGGGGAUGCAAGCGUUAUCCGGAAUCACUGGGCGUAAAGCGUCUGUAGGUGGUGAUGCAAGUCACUGGUGCAAAACUCUGGCUCAACCGGAGGAAAGCCAGUGAAACUGCAUGACUAGAGUGUGUGAGAGGUAGAAGGAAUUCCCUGAGUAGCGGUGAAAUGCGUAGAUACAGGGAAGAACACCGGAGGCGAAAGCGUUCUACUGGAACACAACUGACACUGAGAGACGAAAGCCAGGUGAGCGCAUGGG